GAGACAUUUCACGCCAGUGGGGAU
Molecule: microRNA, 24 nt
Filed under: Equus caballus (horse)
Lineage: Eukaryota; Metazoa; Chordata; Mammalia; Perissodactyla; Equidae
Description: eca-miR-8925
Source: miRBase by way of RNAcentral